UGCACGCCAAGUUAGUCCCCGGUGCCGAUAUGAACAACCGUCGAAUAUCGGCAGCGACGAGCCAGCAGCAACGCCAUCGAGAGUUCAGGGAUUAACAGGAUACCAAACAAAAGUGCUGUAAUGUUGACAUGUAUCAAAACUCAAAAUGAUCAAAUAAUAAGUCUGUUAAAACAUGCAGGCACAUCGAAAGGUAGCCUAAAACCGGAAUUCAAAUUCCCAAUUCAAAAUGCCGAUGAAUUAACUACAACUGAAUUAUUAAUAGAGAAAAAAGAAAAUUAUGACAAUUUGGAUUCAUACAUGAGAACUAUUGGAGGCAGGGAUAUUGCGAGCAGUGUCUCGGCUAAUGAAAUUUUGUUUCACUGACCAGCUGGCUCAACAGUACAACUUUUAUGGAAAGAGAUCGAACAAAAAGCCUUUCUGCCAACUGCGCCUGCGAGAUUGUAUCGUGGAAGGAGUUGUCACCACUACAUCUGGGUCUACAGCUAAAGACGUAGAAGAUUCCAUUAAAAUUUGGCUAAAACAUGCCCCCGAAAGAUUGAAGAAGAUUAAUAAACAACAAUAAACAUGGCAGAGAAAAUAAAAUAUUCGAGAAAAGCCAUAGUUGGCCAACGUCAAUUAUUGAGAAGAGCCAAAGAAGCACAGUUAAAUGUAAUUUCAAAUUUAAAAAAGAGUACUACAACUGUAAGUGCAUCCUCUUCCUUAGUUAAUUUGCCAUGUACUUCAUAUAAUAAUUCUCAAUCUGAAAUUGUAUUCCAAGGUUCUUAGUCCGAGUUCUUAACGGCUAAUAAGUAUGAGAGUACAGUCCCUGCUGGCAGAAAGCAUGAAACUUGGCAUGUAUAUAGCUUAUAGGUUUAUAAGAAAAUAUGGAAGUAGAAACACGCCGAGGUGUCAAUGUUUCCCCUCUUUCCCCCAACUUUUGUAUCCCUGAUUUC
RNAcentral lists this long non-coding RNA (932 nucleotides) under Leguminivora glycinivorella. RNAcentral's name for it is "uncharacterized LOC125227559, transcript variant X1". Lineage: Eukaryota; Metazoa; Arthropoda; Insecta; Lepidoptera; Tortricidae. The record is from RNAcentral.